Molecule: ribosomal RNA, 571 nt
Filed under: uncultured bacterium
Lineage: Bacteria
Description: partial 16S ribosomal RNA
Rfam family: Bacterial small subunit ribosomal RNA
Source: RNAcentral
UGGGGAAUUUUGGACAAUGGGGGAACCCUGAUCCAGCCAUCCCGCGUGUGCGAUGAAGGCCUUCGGGUUGUAAAGCACUUUUGGCAGGAAAGAAACGUCGCGGGUUAAUACCCCGCGAAACUGACGGUACCUGCAGAAUAAGCACCGGCUAACUACGUGCCAGCAGCCGCGGUAAUACGUAGGGUGCAAGCGUUAAUCGGAAUUACUGGGCGUAAAGCGUGCGCAGGCGGUUCGGAAAGAAAGAUGUGAAAUCCCAGAGCUUAACUUUGGAACUGCAUUUUUAACUACCGGGCUAGAGUGUGUCAGAGGGAGGUGGAAUUCCGCGUGUAGCAGUGAAAUGCGUAGAUAUGCGGAGGAACACCGAUGGCGAAGGCAGCCUCCUGGGAUAACACUGACGCUCAUGCACGAAAGCGUGGGGAGCAAACAGGAUUAGAUACCCUGGUAGUCCACGCCCUAAACGAUGUCAACUAGCUGUUGGGGCCUUCGGGCCUUGGUAGCGCAGCUAACGCGUGAAGUUGACCGCCUGGGGAGUACGGUCGCAAGAUUAAAACUCAAAUGAAUUGACGGGGUC